This 240-nucleotide ribosomal RNA is filed under the name uncultured bacterium. Its description in RNAcentral is "partial 16S ribosomal RNA". It matches the Rfam family "Bacterial small subunit ribosomal RNA", at positions 524 to 764 of the family's 1533-position model. The record is from RNAcentral.
UACGUAGGGUGCAAGCGUUGUCCGGAAUUAUUGGGCGUAAAGAGCUCGUAGGCGGUUUGUCGCGUCUGCUGUGAAAACUCGGGGCUUAACUCCGGGCCUGCAGUGGGUACGGGCAGACUAGAGUGCGGUAGGGGAGACUGGAAUUCCUGGUGUAGCGGUGAAAUGCGCAGAUAUCAGGAGGAACACCGGUGGCGAAGGCGGGUCUCUGGGCCGUAACUGACGCUGAGGGCAAGCGAAUGG